CAGUAGGGUAUGCACCAGAUAUGCCAACUUCCUUCUUCAAAAGAUGAAAAAAGUCGCGCAAAUGAAGCUUCAAGCUCAUCAUCAAGUCAAGGCUGAAAAAAUAAUAUCUGGGAGACCAGAAAAUAAGACUAACCAGUGACCAGAAAAUAAGACUAACCCAGUAUCAUCUGGAGCAAAAGUUUUUUCUUCUAUGCAGGGAAAACAACAUCCGAAAGAGGAAGAGUAUCUAAAUUUCACUAGAUACAUUUACAAUCUACCAGAACAAAGUGGAGAAACAUAUGGAGUUUUAGAGACAACUAGCUUGUCUAUAUUCCCAAAUGGAAUACCGAGCUUUACAGCUCAAUUGUUCGAGUUCGGAUAUCUGGAUCGAGUAUAUACAGGUCCAGAAUUGAAAGAAAUAUCUCAACUACCAACAAGAUUGUUCAAAGCAAUCAAAGAUUUCAGCCAAGGCGAUGGAGGUGUAUAUUGCAGAUUCUACAGCAUUUCAAUGGAGUGCCAAGAUUCGCAAGCAGUAAUCCAACACUCAACUACAUUUCUGUUGAAAAAAAUAAAAGAUUUUAAUGUUAAGGUUACGGGAGUAGACAAAAAACUUCCUUAUCUUAACAAGAAAUGGAUACAAACUAGAAGAGCAUUAGGGAUAAAAGCCUUAUAUGCUAUUAUUCUAAAUAGAUUUUACAAAGAUGAUUUCAGGGUGAUAAGAUCAAGACACUAAUUGGGUUCUUAUCUACAAAGGAAGAUCAAAAUUAGAAAUACUCAAAGAAAGAAUCCUAGAUAUUGAGCUCCACAGAUUAGGAACACAACCAUGAUCGAUGAAGGAGAAGAUCGAUGAAGAACGUAAGCACUUACGUAAUCAUACACAAAACGUAAGCACUUACGUUAACAAAGAAGAAAAAGACAAAAAGAAAAAAGAAGAUACUUUUCUUUAUAAAAGAAAAAUCAUAUCCUGUCGGCUAGUGACAGAAAGCAGCACAUGUGACAUAAAACAAAGUUAUUGGCAAGGAAUCUUUGGAUUCGAAAGAGCCAAUAGAUAAAAAUGUAAUAUUUAAAGGAAGUCCUUUAAAUAAAAGUGGAUUGUAAAUAGACCCUUCCGGAUAUCUAUAUAAGGAGUAGAGUUUCAUAUGUAUAGGGGAGUCGAGUGUGGAGUGUUAGAGAGUCUUAGAGUAAGAAAAAUAUUUUAUGAGUUAAAAUUAUGAGUGAGUAAGUAACUUCUCUCGUUAGGGAAAAGUGUUUCUAUUAAUGUUGUAAUUAAUAUAUACUUAUAAUAUGUAAGUGAGAUUAUUAUAUAUGAAAUAAAAGUCAGUUUAUAUAUCUAUUUUCUUCAAACUUAAUAAAUAGUUCAAAGUGGAAGUUGCGAUUUCCAGCCUGAAGGAGGAAUAGUUCGAAAGUAGCCGAAGGUGUGAAGGCGAAAAAUACUAUUCAUAGCCGGAAAGGAGAAAUGCUGCGGCAUUGAUAAAACUAUUUAUCAACAAGAGGAAGUAAGAUGAUGACUGUAUCUGAUCAGUCUUUAAACCGAAUGAACGUGGGAAUUGGGAGUGAUUGAGAGGAAUGUUGCUAAGACAGAUAAGUCCUGUUUGAUUUCAACAGUUUGCGCAAAGAAAUGACUCUUUGAAACUCGAAAAUAAUACAUUGUAAAAAUGUUUUAUGCUUGUGGAUGAUGGGGUUGUUGAGGUAUUGAAUUUGUAAGAAGGUGGAGCUUUCAAAGAUAUUCUCAAGGCCCUUUAGAGGUUUAUUUGUCUUUUUUUUCCUGUUUCUUUCUUCUGAGGAAAAUGUUGAUGAUAA
Solanum pennellii is the source of this 1779-nucleotide long non-coding RNA. RefSeq lists it as uncharacterized. The transcript has 2 exons. The record is from RefSeq and is a predicted model, not a curated record. NCBI's taxonomy places the organism in Eukaryota, Viridiplantae, Streptophyta, Magnoliopsida, Solanales, Solanaceae.